CCUACGGGAGGCUGCAGUGAGGAAUAUUGGUCAAUGGCCGGAAGGCUGAACCAGCCAUGCCGCGUGAAGGUCAGUGCCCUAUGGGCGUUAAACUUCUUUUGUGCGGGAGCAAUAAUGGUCACGUGUGGCCAGACGAGAGUACCGUACGAAUAAGCAUCGGCUAACUCCGUGCCAGCAGCCGCGGGAAUACGGGGGAUGCAAGCGUUAUCCGGAUGUAUUGGGUUUAAAGGGUGCGUGGGCUGUGAGGUAAGUCAGCGGGGAAAUGCCCCCGCUCAACGGGGUGAAGUGCCAUUGAUACUGCCUUGCUGGAAUGCGGAUGCCGUGGGAGGAAUGUGUGGUGUAGCGGUGAAAUGCAUAGAUAUCACACAGAACACCGAUUGCGAAGGCAUCUCACGAAUCCGCGAUUGACGCUGAUGCACGAAAGCGUGGGUAUCAAACAGGAUUAGAUACCCUGGUAGUC
This 460-nucleotide ribosomal RNA is filed under the name uncultured bacterium. RNAcentral's name for it is "partial 16S ribosomal RNA". It matches the Rfam family "Bacterial small subunit ribosomal RNA", at positions 338 to 795 of the family's 1533-position model. The record is from RNAcentral.